UACGGAGGAUCCAAGCGUUAUCCGGAUUCAUUGGGUUUAAAGGGUGCGUAGGCGGAACGAUAAGUCAGUGGUGAAAGCCUGCAGCUUAACCGCAGAACUGCCAUUGAUACUGUCGAUCUUGAGUAUAUUUGAUGUGGGCAGAAUGUGUCAUGUAGCGAUGAAAUACUUAGAUAUGACACAGAACACCGAUUGCGAAGGCAGCACACAAAACUAUAACUGACGCUGAGGCACGAAAGCGUGGGGAUCAAACAGG
Molecule: ribosomal RNA, 253 nt
Filed under: uncultured bacterium
Lineage: Bacteria
Description: partial 16S ribosomal RNA
Rfam family: Bacterial small subunit ribosomal RNA
Source: RNAcentral